RNAcentral lists this ribosomal RNA (375 nucleotides) under uncultured organism. Its description in RNAcentral is "partial 16S ribosomal RNA". It matches the Rfam family "Bacterial small subunit ribosomal RNA", at positions 527 to 896 of the family's 1533-position model. The record is from RNAcentral.
GUAGGUGGCAAGCGUUGUCCGGAAUUAUUGGGCGUAAAGCGCGCGCAGGCGGUUCUUUAAGUCUGAUGUGAAAGCCCACGGCUCAACCGUGGAGGGUCAUUGGAAACUGGAGAACUUGAGUACAGAAGAGGAAAGCGGAAUUCCACGUGUAGCGGUGAAAUGCGUAGAGAUGUGGAGGAACACCAGUGGCGAAGGCGGCUUUCUGGUCUGUAACUGACGCCGAGGCGCGAAAGCGUGGGGAGCAAACAGGGAUUAGAUACCCUGGUAGUCCACGCCGUAAACGAUGAGUGCUAAGUGUUAGGGGGGUUUCCGCCCCCCUUAGUGCUGCAGCUAACGCAUUAAGCACUCCGCCUGGGGAGUACGGCCGCAAGGCUG